CCCUCAUGACCGCCAUGGGCGAGUCCCUUGACGGGUACCAGGAAUAGGGGGAGAACAACCUGAAGGUAAUUCACUUCGUACACAACAUCAGCCUCCAGGCCUCCACCGAGUACGGAAGGAAGCCGCAGCUGUUGACUAAGAUCACUGAAACCCCACCUGAUGUGUUGGUAGUUGGCGAUCAGAACGCCUUCGCGUACUACCUUCAGGCACGGACUGUAGCGGAUGUGCAGGUUUUUGACCAGGUGAAACUGAAUAUCGACAAGGCACAGGAGAAACAGAAGGAGAGCUACCGGAACAGAAUCAAGAAGGGGACCAAGUGCUACGGCAUCCAGGCAAAAAUGGUUACCAUCUUGGAUGGUUGACCACUGAAAGCCCUGAUGCCCUAAACCUCAGUGAAGCCCAAUAGAAAAAGUAUGUUAAGCAUUUGUUGACAUUUGAGAAAGCAAGAAAUUGUAGUUUCUAAAAAUAUACCUCUUCAAUUUACCUCCAAAUUACUUUUGGACCAUUGACUGUCCAAGCCCCACCAGAGCCAGUACAUACGGAUCAGUCUGAUUCUCUGUGCUCUGAGUCGGAGGGGGACCAGCUUGAGGAUCUAGGUGUUCUGCCCAACACCCAGAUGGGGAUCCACCUGUCAUCCGUUACCAACCACCCUCCAACUUUUCAUUACAUCAGCUACAGCUACGGUUAUUGUCAUGUUGUAGUUAUCUGAUUAAAGGUUGUCUUGCACUAUCAUGCUAGGCACAUACUAUGUGAGAUACACAGAUUUCCGAAAAACACUAGCACUGCAAAGACUCAGAACAAAGAGAGCAGCAGUGCCUGGACCUUGCAGUCUCCCUCUUCAAGUCUCCAUUCCGUCAUUGGCUGCCUGUUGAGAACAAGUGACAGGCGGAACCUCCGACCCACACAGCAACCACCUCCUCUAUAUUCUACACAACAGAAUUCCGUAUUUUAGUCUGUGAUUGCCGUGUGUGCAAAAAAAUAUGUGAAAAUGUAUUAAUGACACAGCUGUACCGAAAAAAAAAUCACUUUUAUGUAUUAAAAUCUUAAAUAAUUGCCAGGUUGGA
This is a long non-coding RNA of Oncorhynchus gorbuscha (pink salmon), 1064 nucleotides long. RefSeq lists it as uncharacterized. The record is from RefSeq and is a predicted model, not a curated record. The transcript is spliced from 5 exons. NCBI's taxonomy places the organism in Eukaryota, Metazoa, Chordata, Actinopteri, Salmoniformes, Salmonidae.